CAAGCAAGUCCGAGAGGGUUAGUUGAAUGUACAGAAGUCAGCAGAAGCCAUAGUAGGCAAGUUGUUGCAACAGGUUGCUGAAGGGC
Molecule: non-coding RNA, 86 nt
Organism: Paenibacillus sp. FSL H8-0548
Lineage: Bacteria; Bacillati; Bacillota; Bacilli; Caryophanales; Paenibacillaceae
Source: Rfam